Eriocheir sinensis (Chinese mitten crab) is the source of this 3248-nucleotide long non-coding RNA. RefSeq lists it as uncharacterized. Lineage: Eukaryota; Metazoa; Arthropoda; Malacostraca; Decapoda; Varunidae. The record is from RefSeq and is a predicted model, not a curated record. The transcript is spliced from 4 exons.
CGCUUAGCGCUGGAGCUGGAGCACUUAGCGGGCGGAAAAUUUAAGGCGGGGAAGGGGCUCCCUUAGCACCGUUAAAAAUGCAUAAGUAUUGCAACAUGGUGGAUUACAGCGGGAGGAAAGGCAUCACCUCCUAAUGUAUCUGCCUCGUCUAGACGAAUUGGAGGCGUGUAAUGAUUUGAAACUCAUCCUGAAAUAUCUGUGGACUGUGCUGACCGUGCUGAGAUGAGUGGUUCGGCGAGGCGGACCUUGGAAACACCUACAUGGCCAUCACGACUGAAGUGGUGUUCGCCGACAGGUAAAAUGCAGGUGCAACCUUCACAGACUGACAGAGAUUGAGUGAUAACAGACACUGGAGACCCUCCAAGCGAUGGCUGGUGACCGCCUGCCACCAUCCACAGGCUGUCACACAAGGAGCCCUGGGAGUAACCUUGCUGGAAGCCCCGCGGGCCGCAGUGUGUGGCUGGCGUUAUACAGCCCCCAGCCAUCGCCUGGAGGGCAUCCAGUGUCUGUUAUCACUCACCUUAGGUAGUCUGUGAAGGUCCAGUCAUCACUGGUGCACGUGUAUCUUACCUGUGAUCAACACCGGCAGCCACAGACUCCUGCCCAAGGAACGAACACAGUGAUCGUGAUGACAUUGACAACAACGAGCAAGUCCUCCUAGACCUAGAGUGACCUCAAGCUGGGCCAAACAUGAUGUGGAAGAAGAAAUCAGUUGUCUCCAUCAGUCUGGUUUGUGCCAUGGCAGCUUUCUCCAGCUGUCCGGCAGAGGUCCAGUCCAUGCCAUGGAGAAAUUCAGCCCCCAACAAUGAGAUGGCAUGCCAGAGAUGGAUCCGCAGCUUCUCCUCCAAUCAAUCAAUCCUUGCAAUGCCCUUUCUCUUUUCUCUCCUUCUGUACCACCAUGCUUACACAUAACUGAUCCAAGGUACUGAAACUCAUUACCCUCCUCCAUUUCUUCACCAUUCAAAAUUAUUUGGCAUUCUUUUUCACAUUCAAUGCCCACUCUAUAUGGGCAUACAAACUCUACAACCUCCCUUCUACUCCGCUCACAAACCAUCACUUUACUUUUGUUGACAUUUACUUUCAACUUUCUCCUUUUACAUACACUAUCAAAAACACUGACCUAAUUUUGUAAGUCACUUUCAUUUUCUGCAUUGAGCACCGUGUCAUCAGCAAAUAAGAUUGAAUUCAUCACCUCCCUCGGCAUACAUUUUUACUUCAGUUUCCCCAACUUUGCCCUUCAUUUCUCAUAACACCAUCCAUAUAAAUAUUGAACAACCACGAUGACAUGACACACCCCUGCCUUAGCCCACUUUCAUCUCAAAAUGUUCACUUGUUUCUCCAGUAAUUUUGACACAUGCAGAUGCAUCCUCAUAGAAAGACUUUAUUGCAUAAAGCAGUUUUCCUCCCACACCAUAUAUCUUUAAGACGUCCCACAAUGCCAGCCAAUCGACUCUGUCAUAAACUUUCUUUAGAAUAACUAGAUCCAUGAAGGCAGCAUAGUAUUUUUUCCUUUUGCUAAUAUUUUUUCUAAUAAACACCAUCCUGAAGGAAAAUAUCUGAUCCACACAUCCUCUUCCCUUCCUGAAGUCUCCUUGUUCUUCACUGACUUUCUCUUCUGUAAGUCUUUGCGCAGUCUCAAUUAGGACUUUUCCAUAUACCUUUCCAGGUAGCCUACACUCAGCAGACUUAUACCCCUACAACUCCCACCUCCCCUCUCCUGCCCUUCCCCUUGUAAACUGGAAACAUGAUGGCUUUUGUCAAGUCUGCUGGGACCUCCCCCCCCCCCCCCCUUCCCAGGCCACUUCGCAUAUCUUGACCAUUCAUAUAGUAACUUCAUCUCCACACUUCAACAUUUCUGCUGUGAUUCCUCUCAAUUCAUUCAUCAUCAUCAUCUCAUCGACGCCUGCUCUUAGGAGCUCCCACCAGGGGAUGGCCACGGCAGAAGUUUCCAUCUUUCUCUAUCCGGACACUCCCUCCUUGCCUGCUCAAAGUUUCUCUCAAGGAUCUCUCAUCCUUCUCCCUAACGUACUCCUGCACCCUAUCUCUCCAUUUCACUGGAGGUCGUCCUCUAACAUUCCCUCCCUCAAUCUCACAUACGCCCUUCUGCUGGUCAUCUUACUCUCCUCCAUUUGCUCCAUGUGGCCAAACCACUUUAAAGUCACUUAUUCCCUUCAUCCCCGUGACACAUUCCAAAACGCUCAUACAUACUUUCAUUACUUAUUCCAUCCAUUCUACUCACACCACAAGCACUCCUCAAAUAACUCAUUUCCACUGCCUGCACUCUAGACCUCUGACUUUCAUUCCAGGCCCAUGUUUCACUUUCAUAUGUGAGGGUUGGUACUAUUAUUGUAUUUUCAACUGAUAACUGAUCCAAGGUACUUAAACUCAUUGACCUCCUCCAUUUCUUCACCAUUCAGAAUUAUUUUGCAUUCUUUUUCACAUUCAAUUCCCACUCUAUAUGGGCAUACAAAAUCUACAACUUCACUUCUACUCCCCUCACAAACCAUCACUUUACUUUUGUUGACAUUCACUUUCAGCUUUCUCCUUUUACAGACGCUAUGAAAAUCACUGACCAAGUUUUGUAAGUCACUUUCAUUUUCUGCAAUGAGCACCGUGUCAUCAGUAAACAGGAUUGAAUUCAGCACCCACUGCCUUCCCUCAGCGUACAUUUUUACUCCAACUUUGCCCUUUAUUUCUCUCAUGACACCAUCCAUAUAAAUAUUGAACAACCAUGGUGACAUGACACGCCCCUGCCUUAAUCCCACCUUUAUCUCAAAAUGUUCACUUGUUUCUCCACCAAUUUUGACACAUGCAGAUGCAUCCUCAUAGAAAGACUUUAUUGCACUAAGCAGUUUUCCUCCCACACCAUAAAUCUUUAAAACAUCCCACAAUGCAAUCCAAUCGAAUCUGUCGUAAACUUUUUCAAAGUCCAUGAAGGCAGCGUAUAGUUUCUUUCCUUUUGCUAUUAUUAUUUCUCCUACCAUCCUGAAGGAAAAUAUUUGAUUGAUUCCAUCAGUUCCUGAUGCUUUUCCAUUUUUUAAUCUUUUUAAUGCCUGAUUUACUUCUUCAUAUGUUAUACUUCUUUCUUUAUAUACUCCUCCUCUACCUCCGCUCAAAACUGUUGCUGUAACGGCUGCUGGACGUCCAUCAUCAAAAUUCAUUAAGUUUUUGAAAUAUUCUCUCCAUGUCUCUUUCACAGCUUCCCCGUCUUUGAACAUCUUUCCAUUCUCACCCAAAACUUCAUUAAU